RNAcentral lists this unclassified non-coding RNA (253 nucleotides) under uncultured Paracoccaceae bacterium. RNAcentral's name for it is "uncultured Rhodobacteraceae bacterium contains 16S-23S intergenic spacer region". It matches the Rfam family "Bacterial small subunit ribosomal RNA", at positions 524 to 776 of the family's 1533-position model. Lineage: Bacteria; Pseudomonadati; Pseudomonadota; Alphaproteobacteria; Rhodobacterales; Paracoccaceae. The record is from RNAcentral.
UACGGAGGGGGCUAGCGUUGUUCGGAAUUACUGGGCGUAAAGCGCGCGUAGGCGGACUAUUAAGUCAGGGGUGAAAGCCCAGGGCUCAACCCCGGAAGUGCCCUUGAUACUGGUAGUCUGGAGUUCUGGAGAGGUAAGUGGAAUUCCGAGUGUAGAGGUGAAAUGCGUAGAUAUUCGGAGGAACACCAGUGGCGAAGGCGGCUCACUGGCCAGAUACUGACGCUGAGGUGCGAAAGGGUGGGGAGCAAAGAGG